UACGCAGAGAAUAACAAGUAAGAAGAAAUAUGGGAUAUUUACAAUGUUAAGAACAAAAGCAUAAAAUUUUAGUCUAAAAUGGCAUUUCAUGCUCAGACUACAGAACCGCAGAUAAUGUUGAUUCAUCUGAAAUUUAGUGGAAGCAAGAAAUAAAGCCCAAAAUCACAUCUUGUAUGGGUGAUUCUCCAUCAGCUACCUGGGACAUUCACCAGCUUGUGAAGUUGUGAGGUCAGGAGCCAUAACUCAUGGCGAUAGCUGAUUCUGACAGUAUUUAAACUCAAUAUAUUAAGAUAUGUAAAUAACACACAAGAAUUUCCUUC
Salvia miltiorrhiza (redroot sage) is the source of this 320-nucleotide long non-coding RNA. RefSeq lists it as uncharacterized. The record is from RefSeq and is a predicted model, not a curated record. The transcript is spliced from 2 exons. Lineage: Eukaryota; Viridiplantae; Streptophyta; Magnoliopsida; Lamiales; Lamiaceae.